UACGAAGGGGGCGAGCGUUGUUCGGAAUUACUGGGCGUAAAGGGCGCGUAGGCGGCCAUUCAAGUCGGAGGUGAAAGCCCAGGGCUCAACCCUGGAAUUGCCUUCGAUACUGUUUGGCUAGAGACCGGAAGAGGUAAGUGGAACUGCGAGUGUAGAGGUGAAAUUCGUAGAUAUUCGCAAGAACACCAGUGGCGAAGGCGGCUUACUGGUCCGGUUCUGACGCUGAGGCGCGAAAGCGUGGGGAGCAAACAGG
RNAcentral lists this ribosomal RNA (253 nucleotides) under uncultured bacterium. Its description in RNAcentral is "partial 16S ribosomal RNA". It matches the Rfam family "Bacterial small subunit ribosomal RNA", at positions 524 to 776 of the family's 1533-position model. The record is from RNAcentral.